UACGAGGGGGGCGAGCGUUGUUCGGAAUUACUGGGCGUAAAGGGCGCGUAGGCGGCCUGUUAAGUCGAACGUGAAAUCCCCGGGCUCAACCCGGGAACUGCGUCCGAUACUGGCAGGCUUGAAUCCGGGAGAGGGAUGCGGAAUUCCAGGUGUAGCGGUGAAAUGCGUAGAUAUCUGGAGGAACACCGGUGGCGAAGGCGGCAUCCUGGACCGGUAUUGACGCUGAGGCGCGAAAGCCAGGGGAGCGAACAGG
This 253-nucleotide ribosomal RNA is filed under the name uncultured bacterium. RNAcentral describes it as "partial 16S ribosomal RNA". It matches the Rfam family "Bacterial small subunit ribosomal RNA", at positions 524 to 776 of the family's 1533-position model. The record is from RNAcentral.